AGCGAACGCUGGCGGCAGGCUUAACACAUGCAAGUCGAACGGUCCUUCGGGAUAGUGGCGGACGGGUGAAUAACACGUGGGAACGUACCCUUAGGUUCGGAACAACACAGGGAAACUUGUGCUAAUACCGGAUAAGCCCCUCGGGGGAAAGAUUUAUCGCCUUUGGAGCGGCCCGCGUCUGAUUAGCUUGUUGGUGAGGUAAUGGCUCACCAAGGCUACGAUCAGUAGCUGGUCUGAGAGGAUGGCCAGCCACACUGGGACUGAGACACGGCCCAGACUCCUACGGGAGGCAGCAGAGGGGAAUCUUGCGCAAUGGGCGAAAGCCUGACGCAGCCAUGCCGCGUGGAUGAUGAAGGUCUUAGGAUUGUAAAAUCCUUUCACCGGGGACGAUAAUGACGGUACCCGGAGAAGAAGCCCCGGCUAACUUCGUGCCAGCCGCCGCCGUAA
This 447-nucleotide ribosomal RNA is filed under the name uncultured bacterium. Its description in RNAcentral is "partial 16S ribosomal RNA". It matches the Rfam family "Bacterial small subunit ribosomal RNA", at positions 29 to 523 of the family's 1533-position model. The record is from RNAcentral.